Molecule: ribosomal RNA, 253 nt
Filed under: uncultured bacterium
Lineage: Bacteria
Description: partial 16S ribosomal RNA
Rfam family: Bacterial small subunit ribosomal RNA
Source: RNAcentral
UACGUAGGGGGCAAGCGUUGUCCGGAAUCAUUGGGCGUAAAGCGCGUGUAGGCGGCCCGGUAAGUCCGCUGUGAAAGUCGGGGGCUCAACCCUCGAAUGCCGGUGGAUACUGCCGGGCUAGAGUGCGGGAGAGGCGAGUGGAAUUCCUGGUGUAGCGGUGAAAUGCGCAGAUAUCAGGAAGAACACCAAUGGCGAAAGCAGCUCUCUGGGACGGUACUGACGCUGAGACGCGAAAGCGUGGGGAGCGAACAGG